Molecule: long non-coding RNA, 510 nt
Organism: Magallana angulata
Lineage: Eukaryota; Metazoa; Mollusca; Bivalvia; Ostreida; Ostreidae
Exons: 3
Source: RefSeq, a predicted model, not a curated record
CGGACAUGUUUACAAUAAUAUCUGCAGACAACUGACAAUCGGUGAUAGCCUACACUAGAGAGACGAAAACAAUUCAAAAGGCACAUAGACAGAGCUGGAAGGAGACUGUAUUUGAGACCUAAAACCUUGAGCAAAGAGAUAAAGAGAGACCAAAGAACUAACAGAAGGCAAUUUCCAUCCAAGGUAAUAUCCUUGACCAUUCAAGGAUGAGGAGGAAAACAACACAGCCGAUUUGUUCCCGGGUCCUCUCUGCACACUAUGAGGUGGCCCAGCAUUUCUUGUCCAAGGGGCCCAAGGUCAUGGCCAUUCGACGGGAGACGAUCAGCAUUUUGGAGAGGAGGGUCCCCCCCAAAUCCUCAGCAUGUCCGGAAGCUGGUCAAGAGUGGGGUCAAGGUCAUUGUUCAGCCGUCCAAUAGAAGAGCCUAUAACAUGCAGAUUGGACUUGAACCGGGGACCUUUAAAAUUUGAAAUUUAAAAAAAUACUAUAAGAGUCAUAGGAAAAGACAGUGC